This 253-nucleotide ribosomal RNA is filed under the name uncultured bacterium. RNAcentral's name for it is "partial 16S ribosomal RNA". It matches the Rfam family "Bacterial small subunit ribosomal RNA", at positions 524 to 776 of the family's 1533-position model. The record is from RNAcentral.
UACAGAGGUCUCGAGCGUUAGGCGGAAUCACUGGGCUUAAAGCGUGUGUAGGUGGAUCGUUAAGUACCUUGUGAAAUCCCACGGCUUAACCGUGGAACUGCUUGGUAUACUGGCGGUCUUGAGCCACUUAGGGGCUACCGGAACAAAUGGUGGAGCGGUGAAAUGCGUUGAGAUCGGAAGGAACGCCCGUGGCGAAAGCGAGGUCCUGGACGCCUACUGACGCUGAGACGCGAAAGCCAGGGGAGCGAACAGG